Molecule: ribosomal RNA, 257 nt
Filed under: uncultured bacterium
Lineage: Bacteria
Description: partial 16S ribosomal RNA
Rfam family: Bacterial small subunit ribosomal RNA
Source: RNAcentral
UACGUAGGGUGCGAGCGUUGUCCGGAAUUAUUGGGCGUAAAGAGCUUGUAGGUGGUUUGUCGCGUCUGCUGUGAAAAUCCCGAGGCUCAACCUCGGACUUGCAGUGGGUACGGGCAGACUAGAGUGUGGUAGGGGAGACUGGGAAUUCCUGGUGUAGCGGUGGAAUGCGCAGAGUAUCAGGAGGAACACCGAUGGCGAAGGCAGGUCUCUGGGCAUGUCCUGACGGCUGAGGAGCGAAAGUGUGGGGAGCAAACAGG